This 505-nucleotide ribosomal RNA is filed under the name uncultured bacterium. RNAcentral describes it as "partial 16S ribosomal RNA". It matches the Rfam family "Bacterial small subunit ribosomal RNA", at positions 899 to 1397 of the family's 1533-position model. The record is from RNAcentral.
ACUCAAAUGAAUUGACGGGGGCUCACACAAGCGGUGGAGCAUGUGGUUCAAUUCGAAGCAACGCGCAAAACCUUACCUAGGCUUGACAUGUACGGAUUAUUUGGUGGAAACACUGAUGACAAUCGAAAGAUCGGAACGUGCACAGGUGCUGCAUGGCUGUCGUCAGCUCGUGUCGUGAGAUGUCGGGUUAAGUCCCUUAACGAGCGAAACCCUUACCGUUAGUUGCCAACAGGUUAUGCUGGGGACUCUAGCGGGACUGCCGUGGUUAACACGGAGGAAGGUGGGGAUGACGUCAAGUCCUCAUGGCCUUUAUGUCUAGGGCAACACACGUGCUACAAUGGUUGGAACAAAACGAUGCAAUGUCGCAAGGCGGAGCAAACCGUGAAAUCCAACCUCAGUACAGAUUGUGGGCUGCAAUUCGCCCGCAUGAAGAUGGAAUCGCUAGUAAUCGCAUAUCAGCAGGGAUGCGGUGAAUAUGUUCCUGAGCCUUGUACACACCGCCCGU